GAACGGGUGAGUAACACGUGGGUGAUCUGCCCUGCACUUUGGGAUAAGCCUGGGAAACUGGGUCUAAUACCGAAUAUGAUCACGGGCUUCAUGGUCUGUGGUGGAAAGCUUUUGCGGUGUGGGAUGGGCCCGCGGCCUAUCAGCUUGUUGGUGGGGUAAUGGCCUACCAAGGCGACGACGGGUAGCCGGCCUGAGAGGGUGACCGGCCACACUGGGACUGAGAUACGGCCCAGACUCCUACGGGAGGCAGCAGUGGGGAAUAUUGCACAAUGGGCGCAAGCCUGAUGCAGCGACGCCGCGUGAGGGAUGACGGCCUUCGGGUUGUAAACCUCUUUCAGCACAGACGAAGCGCAAGUGACGGUAUGUGCAGAAGAAGGACCGGCCAACUACGUGCCAGCAGCCGCGGUAAUACGUAGGGUCCGAGCGUUGUCCGGAAUUACUGGGCGUAAAGAGCUCGUAGGUGGUUUGUCGCGUUGUUCGUGAAAACUCACAGCUUAACUGUGGGCGUGCGGGCGAUACGGGCAGACUGGAGUACUGCAGGGGAGACUGGAAUUCCUGGUGUAGCGGUGGAAUGCGCAGAUAUCAGGAGGAACACCGGUGGCGAAGGCGGGUCUCUGGGCAGUAACUGACGCUGAGGAGCGAAAGCGUGGGGAGCGAACAGGAUUAGAUACCCUGGUAGUCCACGCCGUAAACGGUGGGUACUAGGUGUGGGUUUCCUUCCUUGGGAUCCGUGCCGUAGCUAACGCAUUAAGUACCCCGCCUGGGGAGUACGGCCGCAAGGCUAAAACUCAAAGGAAUUGACGGGGGCCCGCACAAGCGGCGGAGCAUGUGGAUUAAUUCGAUGCAACGCGAAGAACCUUACCUGGGU
This 868-nucleotide ribosomal RNA is filed under the name uncultured bacterium. Its description in RNAcentral is "bacterial SSU rRNA". It matches the Rfam family "Bacterial small subunit ribosomal RNA", at positions 100 to 980 of the family's 1533-position model. The record is from RNAcentral.